Molecule: ribosomal RNA, 210 nt
Filed under: uncultured bacterium
Lineage: Bacteria
Description: partial 16S ribosomal RNA
Rfam family: Bacterial small subunit ribosomal RNA
Source: RNAcentral
AGUUCGGAUUGCAGGCUGCAACCCGCCUGUAUGAAGUUGGAAUCGCUAGUAAUCGCGGAUCAGCAUGCCGCGGUGAAUACGUUCCCGGGCCUUGUACACACCGCCCGUCACACCAUGAGAGUCGGGAACACCCGAAGUCCGUAGUCUAACCGCAAGGGGACGCGGCCGAAGGUGGGUUCGAUAAUUGGGGUGAAGUCGUAACAAGGUAAC